CCUGUAUCAUCAUUACCUUAACCCCUUCUUGCCAAUUUUCAUUAAGUCAAUCCUCUUAACAAAUUCUUUGAAGGCAGGCCUUGUCAGUGGCUUGAUUAGACUGUCAGCUAUAUUGGCUGUAGAACCAACAUGUUUCAUCAUGAUUUCACCUUUUUCAAUCAAGUUGCAAAGAAUAUGGUAUCUGAUCUCAAUAUGACAUGAUCUUCUUGUCAAGGACUCCUCUUUUGCUAGAUCUAUUGUGCUCUUGUUGUCAACUCACAGAUGUGAGCAUAUUUUUGCUUUUCCCUCUACCAAUCCAGCAUCAUACAAUAUAUCAUUCAGUC
Molecule: small RNA, 323 nt
Filed under: Histoplasma capsulatum
Lineage: Eukaryota; Fungi; Ascomycota; Eurotiomycetes; Onygenales; Ajellomycetaceae
Also listed under: 1 other name
Description: hypothetical RNA
Source: RNAcentral